This 254-nucleotide ribosomal RNA is filed under the name uncultured bacterium. Its description in RNAcentral is "partial 16S ribosomal RNA". It matches the Rfam family "Bacterial small subunit ribosomal RNA", at positions 524 to 776 of the family's 1533-position model. The record is from RNAcentral.
CACGUAGGGGGCGAGCGUUGUCCGGAUUUAUUGGGCGUAAAGAGCUCGUAGGCGGCUCGGUAAGUCAGGUGUGAAAACUCUAGGCUCAACCUAGAGACGCCACCUGAUACUGCUGUGGCUAGAGUCCGGUAGGGGAGCAUGGAAUUCCUGGUGUAGCGGUGAAAUGCGCAGAUAUCAGGAGGAACACCAGUGGCGAAGGCGGUGCUCUGGGCCGGAACUGACGCUGAAGAGCGAAAGCGUGGGGAGCAAACAGG